This 71-nucleotide small nuclear RNA is filed under the name Prolemur simus (greater bamboo lemur). The record is from RNAcentral. Lineage: Eukaryota; Metazoa; Chordata; Mammalia; Primates; Lemuridae.
UUGCUCACUUUAGCAGCACAUGUACUAAAACUGAAACAAUAGAGAAGAUUAGCACAGUCCCUGAGCAAGGA